Molecule: ribosomal RNA, 2364 nt
Filed under: Salmonella enterica subsp. enterica serovar Bareilly str. CFSAN000213
Lineage: Bacteria; Pseudomonadati; Pseudomonadota; Gammaproteobacteria; Enterobacterales; Enterobacteriaceae
Description: bacterial LSU rRNA
Rfam family: Bacterial large subunit ribosomal RNA
Source: RNAcentral
GUGACUGCGUACCUUUUGUAUAAUGGGUCAGCGACUUAUAUUCUGUAGCAAGGUUAACCGUAUAGGGGAGCCGGAGGGAAACCGAGUCUUAACCGGGCGUUAAGUUGCAGGGUAUAGACCCGAAACCCGGUGAUCUAGCCAUGGGCAGGUUGAAGGUUGGGUAACACUAACUGGAGGACCGAACCGACUAAUGUUGAAAAAUUAGCGGAUGACCUGUGGCUGGGGGUGAAAGGCCAAUCAAACCGGGAGAUAGCUGGUUCUCCCCGAAAGCUAUUUAGGUAGCGCCUCGUGAAUUCAUCUCCGGGGGUAGAGCACUGUUUCGGCUAGGGGGCCAUCCCGGCUUACCAACCCGAUGCAAACUGCGAAUACCGGAGAAUGUUAUCACGGGAGACACACGGCGGGUGCUAACGUCCGUCGUGAAGAGGGAAACAACCCAGACCGCCAGCUAAGGUCCCAAAGUCAUGGUUAAGUGGGAAACGAUGUGGGAAGGCACAGACAGCCAGGAUGUUGGCUUAGAAGCAGCCAUCAUUUAAAGAAAGCGUAAUAGCUCACUGGUCGAGUCGGCCUGCGCGGAAGAUGUAACGGGGCUAAACCAUGCACCGAAGCUGCGGCAGCGACGUUUAUGCGUUGUUGGGUAGGGGAGCGUUCUGUAAGCCUGCGAAGGUGGCCUGUGAGGGUUGCUGGAGGUAUCAGAAGUGCGAAUGCUGACAUAAGUAACGAUAAAGCGGGUGAAAAGCCCGCUCGCCGGAAGACCAAGGGUUCCUGUCCAACGUUAAUCGGGGCAGGGUGAGUCGACCCCUAAGGCGAGGCCGAAAGGCGUAGUCGAUGGGAAACGGGUUAAUAUUCCCGUACUUGGUGUUACUGCGAAGGGGGGACGGAGAAGGCUAUGUUGGCCGGGCGACGGUUGUCCCGGUUUAAGCGUGUAGGCUGGUUUUCCAGGCAAAUCCGGAAAAUCAAGGCUGAGGCGUGACGACGAGGCACUACGGUGCUGAAGCAACAAAUGCCCUGCUUCCAGGAAAAGCCUCUAAGCAUCAGGUAACAUCAAAUCGUACCCCAAACCGACACAGGUGGUCAGGUAGAGAAUACCAAGGCGCUUGAGAGAACUCGGGUGAAGGAACUAGGCAAAAUGGUGCCGUAACUUCGGGAGAAGGCACGCUGACACGUAGGUGAAGUGAUUUACUCACGGAGCUGAAGUCAGUCGAAGAUACCAGCUGGCUGCAACUGUUUAUUAAAAACACAGCACUGUGCAAACACGAAAGUGGACGUAUACGGUGUGACGCCUGCCCGGUGCCGGAAGGUUAAUUGAUGGGGUCAGCGCAAGCGAAGCUCCUGAUCGAAGCCCCGGUAAACGGCGGCCGUAACUAUAACGGUCCUAAGGUAGCGAAAUUCCUUGUCGGGUAAGUUCCGACCUGCACGAAUGGCGUAAUGAUGGCCAGGCUGUCUCCACCCGAGACUCAGUGAAAUUGAACUCGCUGUGAAGAUGCAGUGUACCCGCGGCAAGACGGAAAGACCCCGUGAACCUUUACUAUAGCUUGACACUGAACAUUGAGCCUUGAUGUGUAGGAUAGGUGGGAGGCUUUGAAGCGUGGACGCCAGUCUGCGUGGAGCCGACCUUGAAAUACCACCCUUUAAUGUUUGAUGUUCUAACGUGGACCCGUAAUCCGGGUUGCGGACAGUGUCUGGUGGGUAGUUUGACUGGGGCGGUCUCCUCCUAAAGAGUAACGGAGGAGCACGAAGGUUGGCUAAUCCUGGUCGGACAUCAGGAGGUUAGUGCAAUGGCAUAAGCCAGCUUGACUGCGAGCGUGACGGCGCGAGCAGGUGCGAAAGCAGGUCAUAGUGAUCCGGUGGUUCUGAAUGGAAGGGCCAUCGCUCAACGGAUAAAAGGUACUCCGGGGAUAACAGGCUGAUACCGCCCAAGAGUUCAUAUCGACGGCGGUGUUUGGCACCUCGAUGUCGGCUCAUCACAUCCUGGGGCUGAAGUAGGUCCCAAGGGUAUGGCUGUUCGCCAUUUAAAGUGGUACGCGAGCUGGGUUUAGAACGUCGUGAGACAGUUCGGUCCCUAUCUGCCGUGGGCGCUGGAGAACUGAGGGGGGCUGCUCCUAGUACGAGAGGACCGGAGUGGACGCAUCACUGGUGUUCGGGUUGUCAUGCCAAUGGCACUGCCCGGUAGCUAAAUGCGGAAGAGAUAAGUGCUGAAAGCAUCUAAGCACGAAACUUGCCCCGAGAUGAGUUCUCCCUGAGACUUAGAGUCUCCUGAAGGAACGUUGAAGACGACGACGUUGAUAGGCCGGGUGUGUAAGCGCAGCGAUGCGUUGAGCUAACCGGUACUAAUGAACCGUGAGGCUUAACCUUACAACGCCGAAG